GAGAGUAUAGCUCAGUGGUAGAGCACUUGCCCAGCAUGUAUGAGACCCUGGGUUUGAACCCCAGGGCUUCA
Ictidomys tridecemlineatus (thirteen-lined ground squirrel) is the source of this 71-nucleotide non-coding RNA. NCBI's taxonomy places the organism in Eukaryota, Metazoa, Chordata, Mammalia, Rodentia, Sciuridae. The record is from Rfam.